Macaca mulatta (Rhesus monkey) is the source of this 1144-nucleotide non-coding RNA. The record is from RefSeq and is a predicted model, not a curated record. Lineage: Eukaryota; Metazoa; Chordata; Mammalia; Primates; Cercopithecidae.
AUGAGCAUCUACUUGCGGCUGCGCUCAGGGCCAUCUGAACCCAGUGCAGAGUUAUCUCGAGGAGGAGGCCCCGGGUCUCCAGCCCCUCCGGCUCCCCUGGGGUUUGGCAUAUUUGACGUGGAGCCCCAUGCCAAGGGAUGCAGCUGUUGCCAUAAUUUAACUCCAGUACCUGAUGUCAGACAAGCUUGUCCUGUGUCCUGUUUGAGUGGCGGCAGCGCCAGUGCAGCAAGAAGGCUGGGGGUCGUGAAGAUUGUCCCCAGACCUUGCUUGCACUAUUUGGAGAACCCAGGGGGCUGCCUUGGGCCCUCUGGCCAGAGGGAAGGGAGCAGCUCUAGCCCUGGAGAUUGUGGUCACAUUGGGCCUCGUUUAGGAGUGGAGGGCCAGGUCACCUCCCCAGCCACCCUUCUCUCCUCUGGGACCCCCCACUUUAGGGUGACUUUGCCCGAGGCCCACGCAUCCAUCCACUCCUUUAGUGCCUUGAAUCUCAUUCACAAGCAGCCCCCUCCCUUUCCCUCCCCUGCCCCUCACUCCUUUGAUGUAAUCCUCCCACCCCCAGUGUCCAUCCUAAGGCAUCAAAAGAGGCCCUAACGUAACUUCCCAAAUGGUGCUUUUUAAAAAACACCAUCACUACAUAGGGGCAGUUUUUUCGCACCUCCCUGUCUUCAGAAUGUAAAGGGUGGGGAUUAUGGCUCUGUGUAAUAUGCAGCCCCCUGCACUGUGGGGAUUGGGGCAUGUUCAGUAAUCAGAAUGAAGACAAUAGACAAAGGGGUGUGAUGAGUGUUAACUUGGUUGUUCCAGAGGUAAACCAGGUCUCAGGGAAGAGCCUGGAGCUGCUAUUGCUUAGGAAGUUGUACGUGCCUUGAAAUGUCCACUACCUGAGGACCCAGCGUCUGGUGGGCCUGGGGCUGCUGGGGCCAAGGAGAGACCUUGACCUUCUGGUGCCUGCCCCUCCCCGGCCUAUGUGCCAUCUGCGUGACGCUCGGUCCGCGGUGCCGGUUCUUUACCAAAUGUGCUUGCUUCUCCUAAGUUAUUUAUAAAGAGAAAUCACUAAUGGACUCUACUGGUUUGAGUGCUUCUGAGCUGGAUGACCGACCGCCUGUAUGUUUGUGUAAUUAAUUGCCAUAAUAAACUUUGAUGAGUCACA